Rosa chinensis is the source of this 2773-nucleotide RNA transcript. It is a transcript of the gene named general transcription and DNA repair factor IIH helicase subunit XPB1-like, with no coding region annotated. The transcript has 21 exons. NCBI's taxonomy places the organism in Eukaryota, Viridiplantae, Streptophyta, Magnoliopsida, Rosales, Rosaceae. The record is from RefSeq and is a predicted model, not a curated record.
GGAGAGAUGCCUAAAUCAAUUCAAAUUUCUAUCUCCCUCAAACAAAUAACAAGGAAACAGAAGAGAAACUCCAAACCUACAAAGCAAUGGGACACGGUGAGAAAGGCCGGCGCAAUAAAAAACUCAAAGUCUCUGCCAAGGAAAGCACACACGUGGAAAACGAUGACGGCUAUUACAGCGGUCGUGAAGAAGAUGACAAUGUCCGCCAUGGUGAAAGGAAAACGAGAGACUUUACCAAACUAGAAUUGAAGCCUGACCACCCUAAUCGGCCUUUAUGGGCUUGUCCAGAUGGCCGGAUAUUCCUGGAAACUUUCUCGGCUUUGUACAAACAAGCUUAUGAUUUCCUCAUUGCCAUUGCGGAACCCGUUUGCAGGCAAGAGUGGAUGCACGAGUAUAACUUGACCCCGCAUUCUUUAUAUGCGGCUGUCUCAGUUGGCCUUGAAACCGAAACAAUUAUUUCUGUUCUAAAUAAGCUGUCAAAGACCAAGCUCCCCAAAGAGAUUAUUGAUUUCAUACAUGGUUCUACUGCUAAUUAUGGCAAAGUGAAGCUCGUGCUUAAGAAGAAUCGGUAUUUUGUCGAGUCGCCAUAUCCAGAGGUACUGAAGACAUUGCUUAAGGACAACUUUAUUGCAGAAUCAAGGAUUACUCCUGAGGGUCCUCAUGGAAAUGAAGAUUUUACAAUUAGCACAACGAUGGGUGAAAUUGGAGCUGGUCCUAGUGAUUUGCUAAAUGAAGCAGAACUGGCAGCUGUGGCUGAAGAAAAAGAAACUCAUGCAUUUGAAAUUGAUCCUUCAAAGGUUGAGAAUGUUAAGCAACGUUGCUUGCCAGAUUCUUUGAACUAUCCUAUGUUGGAGGAGUAUGACUUCAAAAAUGAUACAGUUAACCCUGAUCUUGAUAUGGAACUAAAGCCUCAAGCGCAACCCCGACCGUAUCAAGAGAAGAGCUUGAGUAAAAUGUUUGGGAAUGGGAGGGCAAGAUCUGGCAUUAUUGUACUGCCUUGUGGUGCUGGAAAAUCUCUAGUUGGUGUUUCUGCAGCCUCUCGAAUAAGAAAGAGCUGCCUUUGUUUAGCAACAAAUGCCGUUUCCGUUGAUCAGUGGGCUUUUCAGUUUAAGUUGUGGUCAACUAUCCGAGAUGACCAAAUUUGUCGUUUCACAUCUGAUAGUAAAGAAAGAGUCCGUGGAAAUGCUGGGGUGGUUGUGACAACAUAUAACAUGAUUGGUUUUGGUGGAAAGAGGUCCGAAGAAUCUGAAAAGAUUAUUGAAGAAAUAAGAAACAGAGAAUGGGGAUUGCUUCUUAUGGAUGAGGUGCAUGUUGUUCCUGCUGAAAUGUUUCGAAAUGUCAUCAAAUUUACUAAAUCACAUUGCAAGCUUGGGCUCACGGCCACACUGGUGAGAGAGGAUGAGAAAAUCACAGAUCUGAACUUCCUUAUUGGUCCCAAAUUGUAUGAAGCAAACUGGUUGGAUUUGGUUAAAGGCGGAUUUAUUGCUAAUGUACAGUGUGCUGAAGUAUGGUGUCCUAUGACAAAAGAGUUUUUCCUGGAAUAUUUGAAGAGGGAAAACUCAAAGAAAAAGCAGGCACUUUAUGUAAUGAAUCCAAAUAAGUUUAGGGCAUGCGAGUUUCUUAUACGGUUUCAUGAAGAGCACCGUGGUGAUAAAAUUAUUGUAUUUGCCGAUAAUCUAUUUGCACUUACAGAGUAUGCAAUGAAACUUCGGAAACCUAUGAUCUAUGGUGCUACCAGCCAUGCUGAGAGGACAAAAAUUCUACAAGCUUUCAAAACAAGUCGGGACGUAAACACCGUAUUCCUGUCUAAGGUGGGUGAUAAUUCCAUAGACAUUCCUGAGGCAAAUGUGAUUAUUCAGAUCUCAUCACAUGCUGGUUCAAGACGUCAAGAAGCACAGCGUCUUGGACGUAUUUUGAGGGCUAAGGGUAGACCUCAGGAUCGGAUUGCAGGAGGUAAAGAGGAGUACAAUGCGUUCUUUUAUUCUCUUGUGUCGACUGAUACUCAGGAGAUGUACUUUUCAACUAAACGCCAGCAGUUUUUGAUUGAUCAAGGUUAUAGUUUUAAGGUUAUUACAAGCUUGCCCCCUCCUGAAUCAGGAUCUGAUUUGAGCUAUCACCGUCUUGAUGACCAACUGGCACUACUUUCAAAGGUGUUGAGUGUUGGUGAUGAUAAAGUUGGCUUAGAGACACUAGAAGAAGACCCUGAUGAGAUUGCCCUUCAGAAAGCACGUCGCUCAACAGGAUCCAUGACUUUGAUGUCAGGCGCCAAGGGGAUGGUUUACAUGGAAUAUAGUACUGAAACGCAGAAACACAAGCAUGGCAAAGCACAGAUUAAGAGUACUAAGCCCAGGGAUCCGGCAAAGAGACAUUAUUUGUUUAAACAACGCCGUGGCUGAGAACAGGAAGGAUAAAGUAAAUAAUCAUCAGUGAAAGUCAUGCUUUGAUAUAUAUGAACAAGCAUCUGCUAUUAUUAGAAGUGGAAAUCUCUAGGGCGUCCAGAGUUUACAACAUCAAAUCGGAGAGCAUUAGAGGCGCUCCUCAGCAAAGUGGUCCUUUCAAAACCAUCUAAAUUAAGUUCUAUGGCAUAGAUUUAAUACAGCAUCUGGUACAAAGUUGGCCUCUCUUAACACAUGAUUGGAAGUGAUAGAUGAGAAGCUAGUUGCUAAUUGCCGGAUAUCUUGGAUAAUCUUGCUGAUCCUCCAAGGGGGGUGGAUUUUGCUCAAUAACUAACUUUGAGUCUCCUUCUGCCUAUAUGUGUGUGAAGUCUUGUUGC